This 371-nucleotide long non-coding RNA is filed under the name Rattus norvegicus (Norway rat). RNAcentral's name for it is "long non-coding RNA NONRATT005477". Lineage: Eukaryota; Metazoa; Chordata; Mammalia; Rodentia; Muridae. The record is from RNAcentral.
AUCCGUUACAACAUGGAAACCAUACCUGAUCCUCCUCAGCUAACCCCCUUUGUCUCUUCAUCCCUGAGAGCCACCGUAAGCAGUUUUGUGACUAUAAUGGGGAGCCUGUUGGUUUUGUGAGGACUGAGACACCCACACCCUUGGGCUGCUUCAUGCCCUGUUUCUGUCCUCCAUAGCUGUCCGAUCAUGCUCCCAUGCAUUUUGUGCCAUGAAGUCAGGACGCUUGUCCCAGACUCUUAAGUCUGUAAGAGGCUGAGCAAGAGAACUGGGGAGGGGCAGGACCAGGAGGGAGAGGUGGGGACAGCUGGGGUGAACCAAGAGCUUGGGUUCUACUCAUGUGACAGACAAAAUUUAUUAAAGGUUUGUGAAAC